This is a non-coding RNA of Ictidomys tridecemlineatus (thirteen-lined ground squirrel), 72 nucleotides long. The record is from Rfam. NCBI's taxonomy places the organism in Eukaryota, Metazoa, Chordata, Mammalia, Rodentia, Sciuridae.
GGUGUUGUGGCUCAGUAGUAGAGUGCUCGCCUGGCAUGCUUGAGACACUGAGUUCGAUCCUCAGCACCACAU